UCCCUAGUGGUCCAGCAGUUGGGACUCCUCGCUCUCACUGCUGAGGGCUUGGGUUCGAUCCCUAAUUGGGGAA
Non-coding RNA from Bos taurus (domestic cattle), 73 nucleotides. The record is from Rfam. NCBI's taxonomy places the organism in Eukaryota, Metazoa, Chordata, Mammalia, Artiodactyla, Bovidae.